GCACGUUCUCAGGGCGGGGUGCAAUUCCCCACCGGCGGUAAUUGCGCCCAUUGCGCAUAGCCCGCGAGCGCUUGCAGGCAACCCUGCAAGGUCAGCAGACCCGGUGUGAUUCCGGGGCCGACGGUCAUAGUCCGGAUAAAGAGAGAGCGGGA
Pseudomonas putida is the source of this 152-nucleotide non-coding RNA. The record is from Rfam. Lineage: Bacteria; Pseudomonadati; Pseudomonadota; Gammaproteobacteria; Pseudomonadales; Pseudomonadaceae.